CUCCGCAUUGGCCAGGAGGGCGGGGUUCUGAGGACAUUCAGAGCUUAUUGGCUCCAGAAGUCACAUGGGCGGAGCUAAAAGUGAAUUGGGACCAAGUUUUUUUAAUCUGUAGGCUAGGUUUUAAUCUGUAGAAUAGGUACCUAACCUUUUCUGUCCAUUUCAGUCCUUUGACCACGUCAAAGAUUUAAAACAUAUUUAAGAUUUUUUUAAAAUUUUGGUCAGUUUUAUGUUCUCGCUCGCACAUCGCAGUCAGUUUUCAGGGCAUUUUUUUUCUCCCUUAAACAGGUGAGGGUAGGCGCAUCCUAUGAAUGCUGUACUAUGUAUUACAUUUUUUUUCACUUCAUAAGUGGCGUGUGGUGCCGUUAACUCUGUGAGGCAGUGAGACAGGUUUGCUUUGUAUAUACACAUUCUUUAAAACUGUGUCUAUGUUUCUGCCUGUGAGGUGUGUGCAUGUCCAGUGCAGGUGUCCAUAGGUGCUGAGGAGGCACAGACUGGGCUGGAGCUGGAAUACUUGCUUUUGGAAACCUCUUGAUGUGGGUGCUGGUAGCUGAGUUCCAGUGCUCCCCAAGAGCUACGGCAGAGGCAGAAGGAUCACUCGAGAGUUCCAGGAUAGCCUGGUCUACAUAGCAAGACUCAAUCUCAAAAUACAUCAGUAUCCCCUCAAAUACUCACCACCUGAUCUGGCCACCGAGGCCCAAAGAGUGAACUGAGCAUCACAAAGCCCAGCAGUGUCAAACUGUCGUAGGGCCAUAAGAUCGCCUAUGGAGUUCUGCCACUCCCUUGCAGUCACAAUUUGACACUGGCUUAUUCCUCCUUAUUCCACACACUUGUCGUCACCUGCAGCUGCUCUCUGAAAGUUGCUAGCUUUGCCGACCCCGCCCACCGUCUCCUUGUUGCACUCGAGAGCCCUUAUUCCUUUGAAAGCAGCUGUUGCCUGGCAUCACGUCCCCGUCUAUGACAUCCCUUCACGUCAGGCCUGUUCCUCUGCCUGCUUCUCACUAUCCAUCAGCACCCAUUAGUCUAAAUAGUUUAGCCUCUUCUCCAACCGGAGUCUCACUUCCAGCCACACUAAAUCCUAGACCAUGCACUUGCCAUGAUCUCUGACUCCCCACAUCAGCCUUCCCCAGAGCUCACCUUUCUCUUCCAGUCCCUACUGCCCACUAAUCCCUUGCUUGCUUCACAGAGAAUACAGAUGUCUCCAGAGGGGAGCUUUAGGAGGCCCUACUCCCUGCAGCUCAUAUUCUCUUCUUUGUCUUAAGAUGAAAUUUCUCUGCAUCAGAGCAAAUACCUUCACCUCUGCCUUGAACUCAUGCUCCUUUUUCUCCAUGUCUGAGAUCUUGUCCCACCAAGCAUCUCUCCUCACUUUUGCAUCCUUCAAGAUCUUUUUGCAUGUGGGCCUCUUCCCCCUUUCUGUCUUAAAAAGUUGCUUCCUUGAUCUACAGCCUGGGUUUUGUCUGAUUUCUUUCUUCUACUUCUUACCCAAGCUCCUUGAAGAGACACCUUCAUAUUAAUAUUUAGCGUUUACCUCCACCAUGCCAGUGUGAAACCAUAGUCCAAAGCCUCCAAAGACUUACUAAUUGCAAUGUCUUUGCCUUAUGGAGCCCCAGCUACCCCUGAAAUCACUGGCUAUUCUACUCUUCAAACACUCUCCCCCCUUGGCUUUCUUGAAGCUCUUCUCCUAGUGAGUCAGGCCAGUGGCUUGAUGCUGUCUCUGGCCUGCAGUUAGAGCUGACUAUAAAUUGAGUCUUGACGCUACCUGUCCCAUAUAGAGCCAGGUCAGAGUCUUUUGGCUUCCAUUUUAUUGUUGAUCUUGGCCAGGCUCAGAAAGGCCUGUGCCAGUUGUUGACAGUGUCUGCCCCUGCAGGAGGGAAGAGCAGAGGUGAAAGAAUCAGGUAUGGGGGUCAGAUUUAGGGUCAGGCUGGAGGCUACUUGAGCCAGGGAGUUCAAGGGAUCUAGGGUGGGAACUGGGAUGGCCAGAGACCCCCUGCAUCUGGAGGGCCUCAAGGUCAGAGUUGGUGAGGAUGACAUCUCGGAGGGCAGGCAUCUCUGCAAAAGGCACAUAGUCUGCUCCUGGGGAUGGAAAGCAGUGCAGGCAUGGGAUGUGGGGUGGGCUGAAGAUGGAAGGCCUGGAGAGGAUGAGGGAAGGGUGGGCAUACCUUUCUGCCUGCCCUU
Molecule: long non-coding RNA, 2172 nt
Organism: Alexandromys fortis (reed vole)
Lineage: Eukaryota; Metazoa; Chordata; Mammalia; Rodentia; Cricetidae
Exons: 3
Source: RefSeq, a predicted model, not a curated record